This is a long non-coding RNA of Bradysia coprophila, 372 nucleotides long. RefSeq lists it as uncharacterized. The record is from RefSeq and is a predicted model, not a curated record. Lineage: Eukaryota; Metazoa; Arthropoda; Insecta; Diptera; Sciaridae.
GCAGUCUUUAGCUCUUCUAUAUCAAUAUACAAAAAGCUUUCGAGUUUAACGCAGUAAAAUAUAUCUUCAAACAAUUCACAAUAUAAUACUUGACGGAAGAUGCAGGCUAUAACACUAAUUUCUUUCAUUUUGGUUCUGCUGGCUAUUGUCGAUUUGUCGAUGCAGUGCAUUGCUAGUGGCGAGCCUUGUCGUUAUGACGGUAGUUGGGGAAAUUGCUGUUCUGGAUAUUGCAACCAGCUGGAGGGUUAUCAAUAUGGAAAUUGUCGGUGAAGAGUGGAAUUUGCUUGCACAUCGUCUUUAAUGUUUAAAGCUUUUAAGCUGGAAUUUUAAGUUUUCUUUCUAUCAAUUUAAUGAUAAAAAUUUGGUUUAAUU